This is a long non-coding RNA of Esox lucius (northern pike), 1577 nucleotides long. The record is from Ensembl. NCBI's taxonomy places the organism in Eukaryota, Metazoa, Chordata, Actinopteri, Esociformes, Esocidae.
GAACUAUACUAGUGCAAAGUAUUCAUCAAUAUAUAUGAAAUUUUCGUAUUACAAGUUUUAUUUAUAUAACUAUUGAAAUGUGCAAAUGAGGCAAAACUUUGUUUAAUACAAGUGAAUUUUCACAUUUCCAGAUAUUUUUCAACACAUUAUUUCAAGGCAUAAUUAUUUUUAUUUUCUACUGUGAUAAGACACCCAAUGGUCAGACUUGUCCCCAGACAGCAGCUGACUCCGCGGCGGAUCCGCUGUUGUUAUGGCAAAUCAUAGCAGUCACUUAGCGCCACCGCACCAGAUCCAAAACGUACGUUUUUAGCGAUGGCUAGUUCGAAAGAAUUGGUCCUGAUUCGAAUAGGAUGCAUGAUCUAUGCUCGCGUGCAGCGCUCGUGCUACCAUUUGAAGCAUUUGGGACGUUGGUCAAAUCAACCGUAAGAAACAAGGAGUUGUGCAACAUAUUGGAGGACAGGAGCCCUUGGACCACACCUCAGGACGAGCUGGUUUGAAAGGCUCAUAGCCAUCCCUGUCUAAAGUCCUGCUGGUUUGGUUGGAGUUUAAGCAGCUGACGAUACCUUACGAUUUCAGCUGCCCCUCCGUUGACCAUUCCUGAUUGUCCCUGUCUUCGUCCAUCUGGUCAUACAGCAGACGUGGAUUAUGUUUUAUAGACUCUGGACAAAGCCCAUAUGCAUUUAUUAAUUAUUACAGUUUGUACUCUUAAAAUGUUCCCCUGGCACAGCCAGAAGAGGACUGGCCACCCCUCAGAGCCUGGUUCCUCUCUAGGUUUCUUCCCAAAUUGCAUCCCUUUAGGGAGUUUUUCCUAGCCACUAUGCAUCAACCCCAUUGUUGCUUGCUCUUUGGGGUUUCAGGCUGGGUGUUUAGAAUACUUUGUUAUAACUGCUGAUGUAAAAAGGGCUUUAUAAAAUCCAUUUUAUUGAUUGAUCAGAAAAUGCAUGCAGUAUGCCAUCAGUUUAGUCUUGCAUUUGACCACAGAGGUGGUUGCAGAGAACAUUCCAAGGCUGCAGACAGUACAGAACAUGCUACAAGACCGUAACACUAAUGUUGAGGACUAUUUACGUCAUCCUCUUCCUGAAUGCUCCAGGAAGUGUGUGGUCUCAGUUGGACAUCAUUCUCCAUCCUCAAUUUCACUUGCCUCAAAUUGUGGCACAAUGUUGUGUUUGUUAAUUUCUUGUAAUAUCCCAUGUUUUUCACAAUUUUAAGUUUUGAUGGUUUCAUUUAUUCAGUAUUGCCAAUACAAUGUUGUGAUGGGAAAAUGGUAAUCUAUUGAAUUUAUGUUUGAAAUGUCAACAUUUUUACUAACAAUGAAAAUGUAAAUGAGUUGUCAGGAUGUUUCUGGGUGUAUUAGUCCUGGGUAGGAAUGGGUAUGUAUGCCCCCACUGUGAUAAAUAGUUUUUAGCUCAAAUUGUAUGAAUGUGUUUAUUAAUGUUGAAUGCUACCAUUUGAUAAAUCCUUAUUUUUUAUUUUGGGUUAACACUGUAUUAAUUGAUUCAGAAUUGAAAUGUUUUUGAUAUUUCAUUGUAGCUGUGAAUUUACAUUUUGAUAUGAAUUCCUAUUUAUCUAUAAUAAAC